This 497-nucleotide long non-coding RNA is filed under the name Nicotiana tabacum (common tobacco). Its description in RNAcentral is "long non-coding RNA (NTAB_LNC003393)". Lineage: Eukaryota; Viridiplantae; Streptophyta; Magnoliopsida; Solanales; Solanaceae. The record is from RNAcentral.
ACCUUCAACCAACACUCACAUUUCCUUCAAUGUCUUUGACAACGUUACCUAUGAUGCUUUAAUGGCUUUAAUUUACGCCUAUCGUCCACCUACUCCUCCAACUUCCACCAUUGAAAUGGGACUUAGAAAAACCCUAGCAGUUUAUAGGGAAUGGGCAGGGAGAAUAGGCCGAGAUGAAAAUGGAAGUCGCGCGGUUUUUCUCAACGAUGAGGGUGUUAGAUUCAUCGAGGCAUCGGUCGAUGCCACGUUAGAUGAAGUAUUGCCCUUAAAGCCCUCUCCUUCUUUGCUUAAGUUGCAUCCUAGUAUGAAGGAUGUAGUGGAGUUGAUCCAAGUUCAAGUCACAAGGUUCACUUGUGGCUCCGUGGUGGUCGGGUUUACCGGCCACCACAUGAUAGCUGACGGACACGCGGCUAGCAACUUUUUCGUCGCGUGGGGCCAAGCUUGUCGUGGUGUAGAGAUCAUUCCACUCCCUUUACACGAUCGUGCUAUUUUCCAUC